AUCCAGCUGACGAGUUCCAAAUAGGACUAAACGCGCGUCCUGGAC
RNAcentral lists this non-coding RNA (45 nucleotides) under Schistosoma mansoni. Lineage: Eukaryota; Metazoa; Platyhelminthes; Trematoda; Strigeidida; Schistosomatidae. The record is from RNAcentral.